Molecule: ribosomal RNA, 1226 nt
Filed under: Kocuria rhizophila
Lineage: Bacteria; Bacillati; Actinomycetota; Actinomycetes; Micrococcales; Micrococcaceae
Description: bacterial SSU rRNA
Rfam family: Bacterial small subunit ribosomal RNA
Source: RNAcentral
GAAUGGGCUCACGGCCUAUCAGCUUGUUGGGGGGGUAAUGGCUCACCAAGGCGACUACGGUUGGCCGGCCUGAGGAGGGGGGCCGGCCCACACUGGGACUGAGGAACGGCCCAUAUAAUACGGGAGGCAGCAGUGGGGAAUAUUGCACAAUGGGCGAAAGCCUGAUGCAGCGACGCCGCGUGAGGGAUGACGGCCUUCGGGUUGUAAACCUCUUUCAGCACGGAAGAAGCGAAAGUGACGGUACGUGCAGAAGAAGCCCCGGCUAACUACGUGCCAGCAGCCGCGGUAAUACGUAGGGCGCAAGCGUUGUCCGGAAUUAUUGGGCGUAAAGAGCUCGUAGGCGGUUUGUCGCGUCUGCUGUGAAAGCCCCGGGGCUUAACCCCGGGUGUGCAGUGGGUACGGGCAGACUUGAGUGCAGUAGGGGAGACUGGAAUUCCUGGUGUAGCGGUGAAAUGCGCAGAUAUCAGGAGGAACACCGAUGGCGAAGGCAGGUCUCUGGGCUGUUACUGACGCUGAGGAGCGAAAGCAUGGUGAGCGAACAGGAUUAGAUACCCUGGUAGUCCAUGCCGUAAACGUUGGGCACUAGGUGUGGGGAACAUUCCACGUUUUCCGCGCCGUAGCUAACGCAUUAAGUGCCCCGCCUGGGGAGUACGGCCGCAAGGCUAAAACUCAAAGGAAUUGACGCGGGCCCGCACAAGCGGCGGAGCAUGCGGAUUAAUUCGAUGCAACGCGAAGAACCUUACCAAGGCUUGACAUACACCGGACCGGGCCAGAGAUGGUCUUUCCCCCUUGUGGGGCUGGUGUACAGGUGGUGCAUGGUUGUCGUCAGCUCGUGUCGUGAGAUGUUGGGUUAAGUCCCGCAACGAGCGCAACCCUCGUUCUAUGUUGCCAGCACGUGAUGGUGGGGACUCAUAGGAGACUGCCGGGGUCAACUCGGAGGAAGGUGAGGAUGACGUCAAAUCAUCAUGCCCCUUAUGUCUUGGGCUUCACGCAUGCUACAAUGGCCAGUACAAUGGGUUGCGAUGCCGCGAGGUGGAGCUAAUCCCAAAAAGCUGGUCUCAGUUCGGAUCGUGGUCUGCAACUCGACCACGUGAAGUCGGAGUCGCUAGUAAUCGCAGAUCAGCAACGCUGCGGUGAAUACGUUCCCGGGCCUUGUACACACCGCCCGUCAAGUCACGAAAGUUGGUAACACCCGAAGCCGGUGGCCUAACCCUUGUGGGGGAGCC